This is a non-coding RNA of Salmo salar (Atlantic salmon), 286 nucleotides long. NCBI's taxonomy places the organism in Eukaryota, Metazoa, Chordata, Actinopteri, Salmoniformes, Salmonidae. The record is from RefSeq and is a predicted model, not a curated record.
UGAUAAUUUAUAUCUGACAGGGGGGCUUUAAAGGAAUAGUAUGGUGACAUCUUAGUGGGACUUGAAAUAAAUACUCCUAUACCAACAAUACACUUCAGUGUUGAAGUCAAGAAGAGAAUGGGCUGAUGGGUGGUGGUGCUACUCUAUAGCAGAUUUAAGUCAGGACUGAGAACAGACCACGUAGGAACACUCAACAAGUCUUGGAAAGCCAUUCUGGUGUGUCUUGCGUUCUUUUUGUAAUUUUUUGCACACAGGAAUGGGCACCUUCUUAUGUUUCCCCAGGCGA